This 483-nucleotide ribosomal RNA is filed under the name uncultured bacterium. RNAcentral's name for it is "bacterial SSU rRNA". It matches the Rfam family "Bacterial small subunit ribosomal RNA", at positions 8 to 518 of the family's 1533-position model. The record is from RNAcentral.
AGAGUUGAUCCUGGCGUCAGGAUUAACGCUGGCGGCGUGCCUAAUACAUGCAAGUCGAAUGGUAGCAAUACCAUGGCGAACGGGUGAGUAACACGUAGGGUAACCUGUCUUUAAGCCGAGGAUAACCAUUGGAACGAAUGGAUAAUACUGGAUAGGACAUUUGAAGGCAUCUUUAGAUGUUUAAAGAUUUAUCACUUAGAGAGGGGCCUGCGGCGCAUUAGCUAGUUGGUGAGGUGAAGGCUUACCAAGGCGAUGAUGCGUAGCCGGACUGAGAGGUUGAACGGCCACAAUGGAACUGAGAACGGUCCAUACUCCUACGGGAGGCAGCAGUAGGGAAUUUUCGGCAAUGGGCGGAAGCCUGACCGAGCAACGCCGCGUGAACGAAGAAGUAUUUCGGUAUGUAAAGUUCCUUUAUUAGGGACGAAAAGACAGAUUGACGGUACCUAAUGAAUAAGCUCCGGCUAACUACGUGCCAGCAGCGGC